UUUAUGGAGAGUUUGAUCCUGGCUCAGGAUGAACGCUGGCGGCGUGCCUAAUACAUGCAAGUCGAGCGAACAGAUAAGGAGCUUGCUCCUUUGACGUUAGCGGCGGACGGGUGAGUAACACGUGGGUAACCUACCUAUAAGACUGGAAUAACUCCGGGAAACCGGGGCUAAUGCCGGAUAAUAUUUAGAACCGCAUGGUUCUAAAGUGAAAGAUGGUUUUGCUAUCACUUAUAGAUGGACCCGCGCCGUAUUAGCUAGUUGGUGGGGUAAUGGCUUACCAAGGCAACGAUACGUAGCCGACCU
RNAcentral lists this ribosomal RNA (303 nucleotides) under Campylobacter coli. Its description in RNAcentral is "partial 16S ribosomal RNA". It matches the Rfam family "Bacterial small subunit ribosomal RNA", at positions 1 to 293 of the family's 1533-position model. Lineage: Bacteria; Pseudomonadati; Campylobacterota; Epsilonproteobacteria; Campylobacterales; Campylobacteraceae. The record is from RNAcentral.